ACGUACGCUGGCGGCACGCCUAACACAUGCAAGUCGAACGAAGUAGCAAUACUUAGUGGCAGACGGGUGAGUAACGCGUGGGAACCUACCUUUUAGUACGGGACAACGUUUGGAAACGAACGCUAAUACCGUAUACGCCCUCCGGGGGAAAGGUCAGCCGCUAAAAGAGGGGCCCGCGUCUGAUUAGCUUGUUGGUAGGGUAAUGGCCUACCAAGGCGACGAUCGGUAGCUGGUCUGAGAGGAUGAUCAGCCACACUGGGACUGAGACACGGCCCAGACUCCUACGGGAGGCAGCAGUGGGGAAUCUUGC
RNAcentral lists this ribosomal RNA (310 nucleotides) under uncultured bacterium. RNAcentral describes it as "SSU rRNA". It matches the Rfam family "Bacterial small subunit ribosomal RNA", at positions 29 to 367 of the family's 1533-position model. The record is from RNAcentral.